Molecule: long non-coding RNA, 655 nt
Organism: Syngnathoides biaculeatus (alligator pipefish)
Lineage: Eukaryota; Metazoa; Chordata; Actinopteri; Syngnathiformes; Syngnathidae
Exons: 5
Source: RefSeq, a predicted model, not a curated record
UCUUACAUUGUGGGAAGGGCAGAGGCUUUGGAAUCUUUCCAGCUUCAUUAUCAGUGCCAAACAGUCGUUCCACUGAGGGUGUAUCCAGAUUUAUGUGCACACUGACUGAAGCAUAGCAUGGGUGAAGAACUCACAGGUGAAAGUCAACGAAUCUGAGCAUGGUAGAACAAGCCCUCUCGCCCGCUGCUGCUUCUGCCCAGCCACCUUCCAUGUCUGCACAAAGAACCGCCACGAGCUCAUCCAACAGAAAAGAACAGUCGCUCUCUGCUGGCCGUCUCUGAGUGCUCCUUGGUUGGACAGGGAGUAAUUUUGGCACAUCUAAAUCACACCUGUCGCUGAUUAAGAUUCAAUGGAAUUUUAUCAUCUUGAGGUUUGGCAAGAUGGAUUAGGAAGAUUGCAAGGCUCCAUAUAUGCCAAUACAGCUGUUUCAAGGGCACUUCGUCCUUGUUACCACCUACAUUUAACCCUGUCUGACCUUGGAAAUCCUCGCCCAUGCAUUGAAGUUCUCCUGCAGUAUAACGGCUUCCCAGUUACAAAUUUCAGCUACCAAGCAAGCCGCCAGUCCUUGUCACUGCCUCCCACAUGUGCUCAACCAAAGAACCACAACCAAUGGACCAUCUCCCUUUCCCUUUUUCAAUAAACUUUUCUUCACUAC